Long non-coding RNA from Sinocyclocheilus rhinocerous, 177 nucleotides. RefSeq lists it as uncharacterized. The record is from RefSeq and is a predicted model, not a curated record. The transcript is spliced from 3 exons. NCBI's taxonomy places the organism in Eukaryota, Metazoa, Chordata, Actinopteri, Cypriniformes, Cyprinidae.
UUCCCAAAAGGAUCAAUGGUUUCUUAUGAUACAUUUGGGAAAAGCUGGCCUGUUUGAAUAUAGUGUCAGCAGUGAGUGAACGCUUUAUGUGAUCGAUUGGUUCUGUUUUGCAGCAUUUGCGUGUGUUCAGAUAAGCAGGAAAACAGUUAUAUCCUACACAAUUACUCAGCUAACAAA